UGCGGAGGAGGAGGCUAACCCCUAGCCUAAUCAUGCCCUCUUGUUGCGUGGAUAACGAACCAAUUAUAUCGAUUUCUCCUUCUUGACGAACUGUUAUAACAUACUUACGACAAAGGCACCCACACUUUUCUCAAACGGUAUAUAAACAUCUGCGAUUGUACAUAAAAAUCACCAAAGACACUUCACUUCAGCCAAGGGCCUUAGCAAGAGCAAGAUAAUGAUCAUUUAUCAAGCCUAGCCAUGAACAAGAAUAUUUGCGCAGUCCUUGUUCUUCUUGUCCUUACGGUCGCCAUCGUUGAACAUGCAGAGGCUUUGACCAGCGGCGGCUUACAGAUGUGGGGCAAGAGACAGAACAUCCAAAGAGACGUCAGUCAAGUAGCCCAGCUGUUGACGAACCUUUGCGAAGCAGCACGUGAAGCCUGUGAUACCGAAGCAGUAAACGACGUCGAAAUGAAAUCGAAAGGCAAUCAAUAAACAGGCGUAUAGGAGUCGGCAGCUCAUCGCAGUCGGAGGUGUUGCGAGCAUAUGACAAAAUAUGAUAAAUUAUUAAAAUUAAUUCAUUAAUUGAAAUGCCUUGAGUGCUUUUUUUGUUCAGUUUCAUUGG
This is a long non-coding RNA of Nematostella vectensis (starlet sea anemone), 604 nucleotides long. RefSeq lists it as uncharacterized. The record is from RefSeq and is a predicted model, not a curated record. NCBI's taxonomy places the organism in Eukaryota, Metazoa, Cnidaria, Anthozoa, Actiniaria, Edwardsiidae. The transcript has 2 exons.